RNAcentral lists this non-coding RNA (22 nucleotides) under Mus musculus (house mouse). The record is from RNAcentral. Lineage: Eukaryota; Metazoa; Chordata; Mammalia; Rodentia; Muridae.
UAAUGGUGUCAGUCGUAUGGAC